GUGGGAGUCUCUUGGCCUACAAAUACCUCUUUUGAGGAGUUGUAGCGAAAAAGAAAAAAUAGAGAGAUCCCAAGAAUAGUUUGCUGUCUUCAUUUUCGCUAAACUCUAUUUUGCAGGUCUCUAUAUGGAUCAAGUUUUGGUAUCAGAGUAUGUUUCUAGGCUAUGUAUGGUCCAUACGAGGGCUAUAUAUUAAGUGACUGGUGAACCUCUCACCAGCUUGAUGAAGCAUCGACGACCAUCACAAUCAAAGAUGAGCUCUUUAGAGGAGACCAAUUCAAUAAACGAUCUAGCCACAGAGAUC
RNAcentral lists this long non-coding RNA (301 nucleotides) under Elaeis guineensis (African oil palm). RNAcentral's name for it is "long non-coding RNA (EGUI_LNC019745)". The record is from RNAcentral. Lineage: Eukaryota; Viridiplantae; Streptophyta; Magnoliopsida; Arecales; Arecaceae.